CCCCACUCCGGUCCAACAACAAUAUAAAAUGAUACCGUAAUGCACCUGUUCUUUGUCUUUGGAUCUUUUGAAUAAAUGGAUCAAUACAUGAUGAAUCACAAUGAUCGCAAGCAGAGGACCGUGAGAGUUAUUGAGCAGCAGAUGAACCAGUCCAAAAAUCGGACACGUUAACGGAGUACUGAACUAGGCCCUCUCGGAUGCCAUUUGUUUCACUACGAAUCCUUUCAGCUGCACACCCCUCUUCCCCAGCGAGAUAACGGCUAAUAAAACGCUUGAGGUGGCGUUUUGAGGACAUGGCAUUUAAGAUACUUUGGUCGUAAUAGCAGUCAACCAGGAUGCAGAACAAUCCCACACAAUCAAUGCAGCUGAACCAACCCAAGCCCUUACAAACCAUCAAAACCUGUUACAGAGUCCCGGGGAUGACCUGACAUUAUCCCAGCUAUUCUCGGAAACCUUUCAUACACCUGCCACAUCCAGAAGCAACACGGAGGACAUGGUCUCCCUUCAGCGUCAGCUUUUGGAGGAAGUUAAAAUGCUGAGGCAUACUCCGGAGCAACUCCUGCAGGUGGAGAGGGAAAAGCUGCUCGUCGAGAGGGAGAAGCUUCGCCUUGCCCAAGCCAAGUUUGAUUUUAAAAAAAAUGAAUGUUGAACCUAGAAUAAAAUAGCAAUCACUCAGAGG
Molecule: long non-coding RNA, 679 nt
Organism: Gadus morhua (Atlantic cod)
Lineage: Eukaryota; Metazoa; Chordata; Actinopteri; Gadiformes; Gadidae
Source: Ensembl